This 271-nucleotide ribosomal RNA is filed under the name uncultured archaeon. RNAcentral's name for it is "partial 16S ribosomal RNA". It matches the Rfam family "Archaeal small subunit ribosomal RNA", at positions 477 to 747 of the family's 1478-position model. The record is from RNAcentral.
CAGCGCCACGAGUGGGGACCACGUUUAUUGGGUCUAAAGCGUCCGUAGCCGGUUUGAUAAGUCUUUUGUGAAAUUGUUGUGCUUAACAUAACAACGUGCAAGAGAUACUGUCAAACUUGGAACUGGGAGGGGUUAGAGGUAUUCCUUGGGGAGCGGUAAAAUGCUAUAAUCCUUGGAGGACCACCUGUGGCGAAGGCUUCUAACCAGAACAGCUUCGACGGUGAGGGACGAAAGCUAGGGGAGCAAACCGGAUUAGAGACCCGAGUAGUCC